CCUACGGGUGGCAGCAGUGGGGAAUAUUGGGCAAUGGGCGAAAGCCUGACCCAGCAACGCCGCGUGAAGGAAGAAGGCUUUCGGGUUGUAAACUUCUUUUGACAGGGAAGAGCAGAAGACGGUACCUGUCGAAUAAGCCACGGCUAACUACGUGCCAGCAGCCGCGGUAAUACGUAGGUGGCAAGCGUUGUCCGGAUGUACUGGGUGUAAAGGGCGUGUAGGCGGGCUGACAAGUCAGUUGUGAAAUCCUGGGGCUAAACCCCCGAACUGCAUUUGAAACUGUUGGUCUUGAGUAUCGGAGAGGAAGGCGGAAUUACGAGUGUAGCGGGGAAAUGCGUAGAUAUUAGGAGGAACACCAGUGGCGAAGGCGGCUUGCUGGCCGACAACUGACGGUGAGGCGCGAAAGCGGGGGGAGCAAACAGGAUUAGAUACCCGGGUAGUC
Molecule: ribosomal RNA, 442 nt
Filed under: uncultured bacterium
Lineage: Bacteria
Description: partial 16S ribosomal RNA
Rfam family: Bacterial small subunit ribosomal RNA
Source: RNAcentral